RNAcentral lists this ribosomal RNA (1342 nucleotides) under Inocellia digitiformis. RNAcentral describes it as "16S ribosomal RNA". Lineage: Eukaryota; Metazoa; Arthropoda; Insecta; Raphidioptera; Inocelliidae. The record is from RNAcentral.
AGUAAUUUUAUUAUAAAAUUAUUUUUAAUUAAAAUAUUAUUAAUUUAUUAAUAUUUAAGUAUAUAUAAGAAAAAAUAAUAUAUAAUUAUAGUUUAUUAGUAAUGAAAAUGAAUUAGUUUAAUUAAAAUAAAGAAUUUUUUAUUAAAAGUACCUUUUGUAUCAGGGUUUAUUUAAUUAAUAAUUAAAAUUUAAUUAUUCUCGAAUUUAAAAGAUUUAAUUUAUUAUUUUUAAUAUUGUUGUAUAAAUAAUUAUAUAAUAAUAAAUUAGUAAUGAAAUGUUAAUCGUUUUUAAAUAUAUCUAGUUUUUUUAGAAAAAAAUUUAAUUUUAUUAUAAAUUAUUAUUUAAAUUUAAAUUUAAAUUUAAAUAUUUAUUUAUAAAAAAAUUUUUAGGGAUAAGCUUAAAAAUUGAAUUAUAUUAAUAAUUAAAAAUUAAUUAAAUUUAUGAUUAGAAAUUUCAAUAAUAUGAAUAAUUUUAUAAUUUAUAUAUAAAAAUAAUGAUUUUUAAAAAAAUUAAUUUAUAAAUAAAAAUAUUUAAUUUAAUUAAAAAAUUAAAUUAAUAAUGAUAAAAUUAGUAUAUUUUUAAUAUAUAAUUAAAUUUUAAAAAAUUUAAAAUUUAAAAUAAGGAAUUCGGCAAUUUAAUUGCUCGCCUGUUUAUCAAAAACAUGGUUUUUUGUUUAUAAUUUAAAAUUUAAUCUGCCCACUGAUUAAUUAAAGGGCCGCAGUAUAUUGACUGUGCAAAGGUAGCAUAAUCAUUUGUUUCUUAAUUGUUGACUUGUAUGAAUGAUUGGACGAGGUAAUUACUGUCUCAUUUUUAUUUAAAAUAAAAUUUUAUUUUUAAGUUAAAAAGCUUAAAUAAAAUUUAAGGACGAGAAGACCCUAUAGAGUUUAAUUAAUUUAGUAAAAAUUUUUAUUUUUGUAUUUAAAUUAUUUUUAUAAAUAUUAAUUUAAUUGGGGUGAUUAAAAAAUUUAAUAAACUUUUUAAAAUUUUAUUCAAAAAAUUUUGUUUAAAUUUGAUCCAGAAUUUUUGAUUAUUUGAUUAAAUUACCUUAGGGAUAACAGCGUUAUUAUUUUGGAAAGUUCAUAUUUAUAAAAUAGUUUGCGACCUCGAUGUUGAAUUAAGAUAAAUUUUUGGUGCAGUAAUUAAAAUUUUUAGUCUGUUCGACUAUUAAAUUCUUACAUGAUUUGAGUUCAAACCGGUGUGAGCCAGGUUGGUUUCUAUCCUAAAUUAUAUAAAAUAUUUUAGUACGAAAGGACCAUAUAUUUAAUUGAAAAUUUAAUUAUGAAUUACUUUGGCAGAAUAGUGUAAUGAAUUUAGAAUUCAUAAAUGUAUUUAUAUAAUACAG